GAUGAACGCUGGCGGCGUGCUUAACACAUGCAAGUCGAACGGUGAAGGCGGCGCUUGCUCUGCUGGAUCAGUGGCGAACGGGUGAGUAACACGUGAGCAAUCUGCCCCUGACUCUGGGAUAAGCGCUGGAAACGGCGUCUAAUACUGGAUACGAGCUGCGAAGGCAUCUUCAGCAGCUGGAAAGAAUUUCGGUCAGGGAUGAGCUCGCGGCCUAUCAGCUUGUUGGUGAGGUAAUGGCUCACCAAGGCGUCGACGGGUAGCCGGCCUGAGAGGGUGACCGGCCACACUGGGACUGAGACACGGCCCAGACUCCUACGGGAGGCAGCAGUGGGGAAUAUUGCACAAUGGGCGAAAGCCUGAUGCAGCAACGCCGCGUGAGGGACGACGGCCUUCGGGUUGUAAACCUCUUUUAGCAGGGAAGAAGCGAAAGUGACGGUACCUGCAGAAAAAGCGCCGGCUAACUACGUG
Molecule: ribosomal RNA, 468 nt
Filed under: uncultured bacterium
Lineage: Bacteria
Description: partial 16S ribosomal RNA
Rfam family: Bacterial small subunit ribosomal RNA
Source: RNAcentral